RNAcentral lists this ribosomal RNA (445 nucleotides) under uncultured bacterium. RNAcentral's name for it is "SSU rRNA". It matches the Rfam family "Bacterial small subunit ribosomal RNA", at positions 26 to 518 of the family's 1533-position model. The record is from RNAcentral.
AGGAUGAACGCUGGCGGUCUGCUUAACACAUGCAAGUCGAACGGAGUAGCAAUACUUAGUGGCGGACGGGUGAGUAACGCGUGAGAAUCUACCUUCAGGACGGAGACAACAGUUGGAAACGACUGCUAACCCCCGAUGUACCGAAAGGGCAAAUAUUUAUAGCCUGAAGAAGAGCUCGCGUCCGAUUAGCUAGUUGGAGAGGUAAAAGCUCACCAAGGCGACGAUCGGUAGCUGGUCUGAGAGGACGAUCAGCCACACUGGGACUGAGACACGGCCCAGACUCCUACGGGAGGCAGCAGUGGGGAAUUUCCGCAAUGGGCGAAAGCCUGACGGAGCAAGACCGCGUGGGGGAAGAAGGCUCUUGGGUUGUAAACCCCUUUUCUCUGGGACGAGCAAGGACGGUACCCCAGGAAUCAGCCCCGGCUAACUACGCGCCAGCAGCCGC